AUUGAACGCUGGCGGAAUGCUUUACACAUGCAAGUCGAACGGUAACGCGGGGCAACCUGGCGACGAGUGGCGAACGGGUGAGUAAUAUAUCGGAACGUGCCCAAUAGUGGGGGAUAGCCCGGCGAAAGCCGGAUUAAUACCGCAUGAGACCUGAGGGUGAAAGCGGGGGAUCGCAAGACCUCGCGCUAUUGGAGCGGCCGAUAUCAGAUUAGGUAGUUGGUGGGGUAAAAGCCUACCAAGCCGACGAUCUGUAGCUGGUCUGAGAGGACGACCAGCCACACUGGGACUGAGACACGGCCCAGACUCCUACGGGAGGCAGCAGUGGGGAAUUUUGGACAAUGGGCGCAAGCCUGAUCCAGCCAUGCCGCGUGCGGGAAGAAGGCCUCGGUUGUAACCG
Molecule: ribosomal RNA, 397 nt
Filed under: uncultured bacterium
Lineage: Bacteria
Description: bacterial SSU rRNA
Rfam family: Bacterial small subunit ribosomal RNA
Source: RNAcentral